UACGUAGGUGGCAAGCGUUGUCCGGAUUUAUUGGGUUUAAAGGGUGCGUAGGCGGCUUUGUAAGUCAGUGGUGAAAUAUGGCAGCUUAACUGUCAGGGUGCCAUUGAUACUGCAGAGCUUGAGUACAGAUGAGGUAGGCGGAAUUGACGGUGUAGCGGUGAAAUGCUUAGAUAUCGGCAAGAACACCUAUAGCGAAGGCAGCUUACUAGGCUGUAACUGACGCUGAGGCACGAAAGUGUGGGGAUCAAACAGG
This 253-nucleotide ribosomal RNA is filed under the name uncultured bacterium. RNAcentral describes it as "partial 16S ribosomal RNA". It matches the Rfam family "Bacterial small subunit ribosomal RNA", at positions 524 to 776 of the family's 1533-position model. The record is from RNAcentral.